AGAAGCUGAUGUGUGUGAGAUUACCCGCUGAAUUUAAGCAUAUAAGUAAGCGGAGGAAAAGAAACUAACUAGGAUUCCUUAGUAAUGGCGAAUGAACAGGGAUCAGCUCAGUGCCAAAUCGGAAUCACUUGUGGUUCUGAAAUGUGGCUUGAAGGCAGUACCAGUGGCAUCGCGGACGAAAGUCUCUUGGAAAAGAGCGUCAUAGAGGGUGAGAAUCCCGUGAGUCGUUCGCCGUUUGUCACGUACGGUCUGCGUUCUAACGAGUCGCGUUCCUUGGGAUUGGAGCGUAAACGGGUGGUAAAUUUCAUCCAAAGCAAAAUAUAUACUCGAGACCGAUAGCACAAAAGUACCGUGAGGGAAAGGUGAAAAGAACUUUGAGAAGAGGGUUAAAUAGUGCCUGAAAUCGUUGAGAAGGAAGCGGAUGCCGCCGUUGCAUAUGCUGAUUGUAGGAUUGCUGCUCGCUCCUGUCUUCUGCUACUCAUUCACAGACCUGGUCGUGUUGAGCAGUUGUUUGGCAGAUGGCAGAUGUUAGUGGUGUUUCCUACUCUCAGUCGUCAGCAUCACUGGCUGAGUGGAAAUAAUCCUUGGAUGCUAAUUGGUUCGCUAUCUGUGAAUUGGUUGCUUCCUUGCGAUACUCACUACUCGGUCAGUGAGGAAGUGCGUUUGCUGGUCAACGAGCUUUCUAACUGUCAUUACCCUGCGCUUUUCGAUUCGUCGAGUGGCCAGGAUGUGGCUUUGAGAUUGUUCGCACUUAGUAAUCGCGAUGCUGGCUUCCAACGGUUGCCUCCGGCCCGUCUUGAAACACGGACCAAGGAGUCUAACGUAUGUGCGAGUGUGUGAGUGGCAAACUUAUACGCGUAAUGAAAGUGAGGCCGUAUGGCCAUGUUGGGGUCACCAACAACCGACCUUGAUCUUCGGUGAAAGGUUUGAGUAUGAGCAUAUCCGUUAGGACCCGAAAGAUGGUGAACUAUGCCUGAGCAGGGUGAAGCCAGGGGAAACUCUGGUGGAGGCUCGUAGCGAUACUGACGUGCAAAUCGUUCGUCAGACUUG
RNAcentral lists this non-coding RNA (1050 nucleotides) under Perkinsus marinus ATCC 50983. RNAcentral's name for it is "Eukaryotic large subunit ribosomal RNA". It matches the Rfam family "Eukaryotic large subunit ribosomal RNA", at positions 1 to 913 of the family's 3401-position model. The record is from Rfam by way of RNAcentral. Lineage: Eukaryota; Perkinsozoa; Perkinsida; Perkinsidae.